This is a microRNA precursor of Pan paniscus (pygmy chimpanzee), 91 nucleotides long. The record is from Ensembl. Lineage: Eukaryota; Metazoa; Chordata; Mammalia; Primates; Hominidae.
AGGCGUGGUGGCGGGCGCCUGUGAUCCCAGCUACUCAGGAGGCUGAGGCAGGAGAAUCGCUUGAACCCAGGAGGCGGAGAUUGCAAUGAGC